RNAcentral lists this unclassified non-coding RNA (200 nucleotides) under soil metagenome. RNAcentral's name for it is "partial contains internal transcribed spacer 2 and large subunit ribosomal RNA". The record is from RNAcentral.
UUUGGAAUAGAUUUGAAGGCUUUAGAGAAUUUUCUCUAAUCCUUUGAAAUAAAGUUUGUUGGUGAUUGAUUUGGUCACUACCAUGUGCUAAAGGCUUUAUGUCUUGUCAUGUUAAUGAUCAUAGUCAACCCAUUGCAAACUCGCUUUGCAAAAUUACCUUUAAUGGUCUCAAAUCAGGCAAGACUACCCGCUGAACUUAA